UCUGAAGGACUAUCAGGCACAACUCUGUUCCAAAUUCUCAGUAUUAAUGUACAAAAUUACAUAGAUGAUGCACAGAUAGGACCCAAAAUGAAAUCUGAAAUUCAGUAAGCUGAAUAUAACAUGGAAAUGCAACUCAAAUCAGUUUCAAGUGGCUGCACUCAGCCCAAGAUCAAACCAACAGACUUGUUUUGCAUUCCAUUAACCUCAACCAGCGUUUUUCAAUACUGAGAAUCUAGAUUCAGGCCAAGUUUUGGGAUCUCUUUUUCUAUUGAUAAAGAACACAAAUGAUAACAAAGAUAAAAGACAUCAUUUCUUAAAUUGGGCAAUAACAAAGCCAUAAACAAAUAUCAUGUUUCAAGGUAACAUGCUAAAUGCAUGUAACAAAUAGAUCAUCAAUUAAUCAAAGUUGGGUAUACAAUCUCAUCCAGUCAAACUUUAAGGAUUUACAUUUUAAAAUUAUUAACUAUAAUAAACAGCACUAGCACCAACAGGUUUGGAGAACAUUUAAUGUAAGACUUGAGUAGCAAUCAAAUAUUUGUAUCUUCUAGUUCAAUCUCCUAUAUAAUCUUAACAUGAAACAUUAUGUUGACUGAAACCUAAAGAAUGUUCUAAUUGUCCCUCAAACUACAGGUCAAUGGUUGGUAUACAUAAUUAGCGUUGAUGCAUGUCUGGUUGAGUUUGGAUAACAAUCAUUUAAGACUCAAUUGUACUAAAAGAACCAACAAGUUUAGGCUCUAAUCUCCCAUGUCAUCUCAACAUAUAGAAUGGUGAUCAUAAUUGAACCAUCAAGGCAAACUGCUUUUGCAUUACAUGUCUGUGAUAUACAGAAUAUGCAGUUCUGCAUCAUGCAUGUCAAGUUAAACCUUGGAUUAAAAAAAAGGUGCAAGUUUUGGCUCUGAUGUCCCAUGUCGUCUAGUUAUACAAGAUGGGCAAAUUAUAUGGUGACUUCGUUUUUAGCAAAGUAUUUUACUUUGUAACCAUCACCUUUGCAGUAUUUUUCCCCCUUUGGGAACGGGCUUGGGGUUGGGGUGUGAGUUCCUAUGCUUUCUAAUUGCUAGCCAACACAUUAGCAUCAACCCCUUACUCAAAAGUUCAGUACGCAAUGAAGAUGGGAUUCCACCCUGUAUCUUUGGAACAAUCCCAAGGGACAUUGCUGGGAUACAAAGUUGAACAUAUUUACCCUAUUAUACCAAAGUAAAUAGA
This 1203-nucleotide unclassified non-coding RNA is filed under the name Hevea brasiliensis (rubber tree). The record is from RNAcentral. Lineage: Eukaryota; Viridiplantae; Streptophyta; Magnoliopsida; Malpighiales; Euphorbiaceae.